CUCGUCCGUUAGAACGUUAAGCGAAAAAUUCGUAUUUUUCCUAAUCUUUCUCUUAUUAUUUCAUCAUCGUAUUCCAACAUUUAAUAUGCGGUAAACGUCAUAGAGUGGAAGUAAAUGUGAUCAAAGGCGACAUUGGAAAUCAGAAAUUUAAUAAACAGUAAUAAAAUCUCGUUCACGGAUCGGAUUCCUUCGUGAUAACGCUGAAUAUUUUUUCGAUGCAAUAACUGUUGGAGUUGGCGGUCAUCUCGCGUCACUGACGAAGAUUGCUUACUCUGAAAGCUAGUUCUACCACUUGACGUCCGUCUCGUGUUUAUCCUACGUGCAUACGGUGGAGGCGCCGGUGUCAGUAAACCUCCGGUCGCCUUAAAGAGCGGAUCGCGUCAACGGAUGUCCCGGCGAACGAAAGUUUGUGUCAGUUCCACUCGAUUUUGACAAUGAAAAUUAAUUUUCAUCGUCGUCGUGCUAGUUUGUGAAUGAAUUUUAUUUCACGUGCACAUCGAGCCAUGCAUCGAGAAGGUUGAACGUGUGACUAACAGGAAAUUCAGGUAUUUAUUUUUCCUUCGUAUUAUGUAAUUUUGUUUUUCUUUUUUUAAUUGAACUCGAUUAUAUGCACGAUGAUAACCACAGCCGGUAGAAAAUGUCGGAAGCGUUGAAAUAUGUACAAGGGCAGGUUUGCCUUGAAAUUUGAAUUAAAAGAUUGAGAGUGUGUUGA
Frieseomelitta varia is the source of this 712-nucleotide long non-coding RNA. RefSeq lists it as uncharacterized. The transcript is spliced from 3 exons. The record is from RefSeq and is a predicted model, not a curated record. Lineage: Eukaryota; Metazoa; Arthropoda; Insecta; Hymenoptera; Apidae.